This 556-nucleotide ribosomal RNA is filed under the name Colletotrichum sp. D3. RNAcentral describes it as "eukaryotic LSU rRNA". The stretch from base 180 to 333 matches the Rfam family "5.8S ribosomal RNA". Lineage: Eukaryota; Fungi; Ascomycota; Sordariomycetes; Glomerellales; Glomerellaceae. The record is from RNAcentral.
UCUAUAACCCUUUGUGAACAUACCUACAACUGUUGCUUCGGCGGGUAGGCCGUCCCCUGAAAAGGACGCCUCCCGGCCCGGACCGGACCCCCCGCGGGACCGGACCCGGCGCCCGCCGGAGGAUAACCAAACUCUAUUGUAACGACGUUUCUUCUGAGUGGCAUAAGCAAAAUAAUCAAAACUUUUAACAACGGAUCUCUUGGUUCUGGCAUCGAUGAAGAACGCAGCGAAAUGCGAUAAGUAAUGUGAAUUGCAGAAUUCAGUGAAUCAUCGAAUCUUUGAACGCACAUUGCGCCCGCCAGCAUUCUGGCGGGCAUGCCUGUUCGAGCGUCAUUUCAACCCUCAAGCUCUGCUUGGUGUUGGGGCUCUACGGUCGACGUAGGCCCUCAAAGGUAGUGGCGGACCCUCCCGGAGCCUCCUUUGCGUAGUAACAUUUCGUCUCGCACUGGGAUCCGGAGGGACUCUUGCCGUAAAACCCCCCAAUUUUCCAAAGGUUGACCUCGGAUCAGGUAGGAAUACCCGCUGAACUUAAGCAUAUCAAGGAGGCGGGAGAGGA